UAGAUAGAAAGAUUAAACUGAAGAGUUUGAUCAUGGCUCAGAUUGAACGCUGGCGGCAGGCUUAACACAUGCAAGUCGAACGAUGAAACUCUAGCUUGCUAGAGAUGAUUAGUGGCGGACGGGUGAGUAACAUUUAGGAAUCUGCCUAGUAGUGGGGGAUAGCUCGGGGAAACUCGAAUUAAUACCGCAUACGACCUACGGGUGAAAGGGGGCGCAAGCUCUUGCUAUUAGAUGAGCCUAAAUCAGAUUAGCUAGUUGGUGGGGUAAA
This 268-nucleotide ribosomal RNA is filed under the name Faucicola osloensis. RNAcentral's name for it is "Moraxella osloensis partial 16S ribosomal RNA". It matches the Rfam family "Bacterial small subunit ribosomal RNA", at positions 1 to 261 of the family's 1533-position model. The record is from RNAcentral. Lineage: Bacteria; Pseudomonadati; Pseudomonadota; Gammaproteobacteria; Moraxellales; Moraxellaceae.